This 681-nucleotide small RNA is filed under the name Pongo abelii (Sumatran orangutan). RNAcentral describes it as "processed transcript". The record is from RNAcentral. Lineage: Eukaryota; Metazoa; Chordata; Mammalia; Primates; Hominidae.
AGUAGUAUGCACUUGAUUUCAUCUUGCCACAGGCACCAUUGCCUGGGUGUGGAGCUGCUGCCUGAAGUUGAGGGAACCUAUAAACAUGAAAACAUCCUCAUUUCCUUAUGUCUCAUUUUAUUCACAGAUGAAUAGACCCAGUGCUGCCAACCCUUGUUCUCCAGUGCAGUUCUCUUCCACGCCCUUGGCUGGGUUGGCCCCUAAGAGGCGAGCAGGAGACCCUGGAGAAAUGCCACAGAGUCCCACAGGGCUGGGACAGCCCAAACGGAGAGGGAGACCUCCCAGUAAGUUCUUCAAACAGAUGGAACAGCGUUACCUAACCCAGCUGACAGCCCAGCCUGUCCCACCUGAGAUGUGCUCAGGCUGGUGGUGGAUACGAGAUCCUGAGACGUUGGAUGCCAUGCUCAAGGCCCUACAUCCCCGAGGUAUCCGGGAGAAGGCACUUCACAAACACCUUAACAAGCACAGGGACUUCUUGCAGGAAGUCUGCCUGCGGCCCUCAGCUGACCCCAUCUUUGAGCCCAGGCAACUACCUGCCUUUCAAGAAGGGAUUAUGAGCUGGUCCCCCAAAGAGAAGACAUACGAGACAGACCUAGCAGUGCUUCAAUGGGUAGAGGAGCUGGAGCAGCGGGUUAUCAUGUCUGAUCUGCAGAUUCGGGGCUGGACAUGUCCUAGCCCAGA